GACGAACGCUGGCGGCGUGCUUAACACAUGCAAGUCGAGCGGUAAGGCCCUUUCGGGGGUACACGAGCGGCGAACGGGUGAGUAACACGUGGGUGACCUGCCCUUAGCUCUGGGAUAAGCCUGGGAAACUGGGUCUAAUACCGGAUAUGACUCCAUGACGCAUGUUGUGGGGUGGAAAGCCUUGUGCGGCUAGGGAUGGGCCCGCGGCCUAUCAGCUUGUUGGUGGGGUGAUGGCCUACCAAGGCGACGAUCCGUAGCCGGCCUGAGAGGGCGGUCGGCCACACUGACACUGACAUACGGGUCAGACUCCUACGGGAGGCAGCAGUCGGGAAUUUUGGGCGAAUAGGGCGAAAGACCUCGACCCAGCAACGCCGCGUGAAGGAUGAAAUCCCUCGGGAUGUAAACUUCGCAAGAACGGGAAGAAUAAGUA
This 430-nucleotide ribosomal RNA is filed under the name uncultured bacterium. Its description in RNAcentral is "bacterial SSU rRNA". It matches the Rfam family "Bacterial small subunit ribosomal RNA", at positions 28 to 455 of the family's 1533-position model. The record is from RNAcentral.